This 73-nucleotide transfer RNA is filed under the name Amoebidium parasiticum. RNAcentral's name for it is "tRNA-Asn". It matches the Rfam family "tRNA". Rfam says of the family: Transfer RNA (tRNA) molecules are approximately 80 nucleotides in length. Their secondary structure includes four short double-helical elements and three loops (D, anti-codon, and T loops). Further hydrogen bonds mediate the characteristic L-shaped molecular structure. tRNAs have two regions of fundamental functional importance: the anti-codon, which is responsible for specific mRNA codon recognition, and the 3' end, to which the tRNAs corresponding amino acid is attached (by aminoacyl-tRNA synthetases). tRNAs cope with the degeneracy of the genetic code in two manners: having more than one tRNA (with a specific anti-codon) for a particular amino acid; and 'wobble' base-pairing, i.e. permitting non-standard base-pairing at the 3rd anti-codon position. The record is from RNAcentral. Lineage: Eukaryota; Ichthyosporea; Ichthyophonida; Amoebidiaceae.
UCUUCAGUAGUUCAAUCGGUAGAUCACUCGUCUGUUAAACGAAGGGUUAUAGGUUCAAGUCCUAUCUGAAGAG